CUCAAUACACCCAACAAUUUUUUUCUUAAAACACAUAUCACUCCACCCUAUAAAGUUUUCUGGAGGUGGGAUGCAAUGCCUAUCUUGGCCUUCCUACUUUCUCUUUAAGCCAAAAAGGAAUUCAAUUUGGGUAUUUGAAUGAUAGAUUGGAGAAGAAAAUUUUAUGCUGGAAUCAAAGGAAGUUCUCUGCGGGGGAAAAAAGAGGUCCUUAUCAAGGCAGUAGCUCAGGCGAUGCCAACAUUUGCUAUGCAAUGCUUCAGAAUACCGGAUACUAUCCAUAAAAUAUGUAUGAUAUUUUGGUGAGGCGACAAGGAGGAGAAAAAAUGUAUGCAUUAGGCGAGGUGAGAACGCAUGUGUGUGUCGAAACAAAAAAGAGGCAUGUGGUUCAUGGAUUUAAAGAUUUUAAACAAAGCUUUAGCCGCGAAACAUGCUUGGAGGAUGAUUUUGUAUCCACCCGUGUUUUUAAAGCUAAAUACUUCAAAAAUGAUGAUUUGAUGCAAGCUCAUGCUCUCUCGAGAUCGUCUUAUGUUUUGGCGCUCUAUUGCCUAGACGGAAAUUAGUUUUUCAAAUAUAGAUUUACCAAGAUUGAGAGGUUUUAUUAGUCACCUCACCACUUUUUNNNNNNNNNNNNNNNNNNNNNNNNNNNNNNNNNNNNNNNNNNNNNNNNNNNNNNNNNNNNNNNNNNNNNNNNNNNNNNNNNNNNNNNNNNNNNNNNNNNNNNNNNNNNNNNNNNNNNNNNNNNNNNNNNNNNNNNNNNNNNNNNNNNNNNNNNNNNNNNNNACAAAAUACACCAACAAACACCAAGAACCCUGAUAGGCAUACCUCAGGCAUAAGUGUGAAUUUCAACAACCAAUCAUCAACUAUAUUAGGAAUGAAUUAAAUUUUCAAUCAAUGAUUGAAUGAGCUAUUCGUGAUAUUCCAACAACAUUUCGGCCUAAGCAGAGAAAGACUGACCGAAGAGCCGAGCCUACGGUAUUGAGGCGGUGGAGUUCGUCGGGCCACCGUGAGUGGAGAGAUAGAAGGUGGGUCGUGGUGGCGGGUGGAUCUGUUGUUUCAAUGGCGAUUACAGUCUUGCAGACUUCUCUGACAACCAUUAGUUUUCUCGAAUUUCUUUUUAUUCCAUAUUUUAUUUAUUUGAAUUUGAUUAUUAUAUUAUUUGAGCACCAAUGGAUUAUUAUAUACUUUUGUCCAUAAAAGAUCUUCAUACUUUUUCUUUUUGAGACGUUCACAAAAAAAAAAUUAUUUAUUUUUGGACUAUAAUUACAAUACACUCAAGUGACUCAACUCACCAACCUUUUCCCCGCUCUCAAUACACCCAACAAUUUUUUUCUUAAAACACAUAUCACUCCACCCUAUAAAAUUCUUCCAUGGACGGAGGGUGUAUUUGAUUAUUUUAUUUUCUGGAGGUGGGAUACAACGCCUAUCUUGGCCUUCCUACUUUCUCUUUAAACCAAAAAGGAAUCCAAUUUGGGUAUUUGAAGAAAAUUUUAUGCUGGAAUCAAAGUAAGUUCUUUGCGGGGGAAAAGAGGUCCUUAUCAAGGCGGGUAGCUAAGGUGGUGCCAACGUUUGCUGUGCAGUGCUUCAUAAUCCCGGAUACUAUUUGUGAUGAUAUCCAUAAAAUAUGGGCGGUAUUUUGGUGGGGCAAUAAGGAUGAGAAAAUACAUAUGCAUUAGGCCAGGUAGGAACCCAUGUGUGAGCCGAAACAAAAAAGAAGCAUGAGGUUCAGGGAUUUAAAGAUUUGAAACAAAGCUUUAGUGGCGAAACAUACUUGGACGAUGAUUUUGUAUACUGAGUCACUGGUAGCCCGUUUUUUUAAAGCUAAAUACUUCAAAAAUGGUGAUUUGAUGCAAGCUCAUGCUCUCUCGAGAUCGUCUUAUGUUUUGGCACUCUAUUGCCUAGAGCAGAUCGAUGAUUAAGGAGGGCUUGAUAUGGAAAGUGUGGAAUGAAACGGAUAUGAUUGUAUUCAUAGGUCCAAGGUCUGCAUGGGGUUAUACAAAUUUUUUCUCUGGCGAGCCUUCUCUAAUCUAAUCCCGACGACGGCCAACCUCUGAAACCAUUAUGUUCCUACGGAUGGUAUCUGUGAGUCUUGCCGUGAGGUGCAACAAAUAUGCCGACAAUCACGUUUUUUGGGAUGUGAUGCAAAAAGCAACAGUGAUGCAACUCAUGGAUAUUGCAGAAGUGAUCUUGAAGGAAUGAGGAAGGGAUGAAUAUGAGUUAUGGUGCUACUUAUCUGUGCACCAAAAAGCAUGGUGCAAAGGAGUUUGUUGAAUUGUCGUAUGAAGAGACGAGUAAGGCGUAUUCGGAAAGCAUAUGUCGUAGCCAAGCCCACAUACUUGACGGAUAAAUGUUAGGGUGUCUCAUUGGGGAAGAAGAAGAAGUGGAUUAAGCCGAUGCAUAGUUGCUUCCGUGUUGACGUCAAUGCUUUGUUUUAUCUAGAUCAGGGAGCGUAUGGGGUGGGAAUCAUAAUUAGAAAUUAUGAAGGCACAAUGGUGUUUUAUCUAUGACACUCAGCCUAUCUCAAGUGCUAUGAUGGCUGAAAUCUUGGCUGUGGUACAAGGGAUUAACCCACUACACAACUAACCUUGUGUACACAAUUCUCGCGCGACGUGUUAGGCCAGCUCGAUGAAUCUCGAUGAAUUAAGAAAUAGCAUUAACCUGAUACAAAACGUGCAUAGAUAACAUUUCAUGGUUAGUAUACAGUUCAUAAAGCAUUUGCGAUUUUAUAUAACUCAAGCAUAAUUUUUGAAAAUAAAGCCCACCUUGAUAGGACAAAGCCUGAAGUUCAAACGUAACUCGUCUCGAAAACGCAGUGCUAUUCCUCUUGGUCAACUGAGCCUACAAGAUAAUCUAAUCUUAAUAGGUCUCGUGAUACGAGUCUUAGUUCAAAGUAGGAUAAAGCUUACUAAUUUCUAAAUCACUAUGCCUGGGUUUUAAAACUCACUUUAAAAUCUUGAAAAUCAAUUGCUCGGCUAAGGGCACCAACAACAAAAUCCUUGCUUGACUUUUGUUGAAAUUUUUUAACUUGAAAAUAUUUUCAGUGCUUAAAUAUUUUUCUUUCAAAAUCAGAAUAUAAUUUCAUAAAUACUUUAAUCAAAUAAUAUGUGAAUCAUACUUACUAUAUGCACAUAAUAAGAAUUAUGAUGCAUUUUCUAUUACAUUAAUUACAUGAAUACAAGUAAUUAAUAGUAUAUAUGAAAGAAUAACUCUUAAUCAAUCUAACUUGAUUAAUCACAAGUCACUUAAUAAACUAAUGAUGAUUCUCAUCAUAUACUUAAUCAACACAAUUGAAUUUGAUUAAGUAUAUCAAAUCUAUAUUCUAUUCAAUUGAAUAAUUCAACUCAUUAGUCUCAACCCAUUAUUAAAAGAAUGAAGCCUAAUCGAUCAUUUGAUAUAAUACCCAAAUCUGAUUAUUAAGUAAGACCAACAAAAAUUAAAUUAUUCCCAAGAAGAGUAAAAUAACAAGCCCAGUUUCCAAAGCCCAAAUGAACACUUUCUCUCUCCUUUAAUCAAUCGGACUUCUCUCUCUGUUCACUCUCUCGAUCUCUCCAGCGCUGCCGCCUUCUCCUUCUUCCCCGGCGAAGGGCGCCGCCUUCGGCCCCCGUCACCACCGGCAUCUCCCCCUCUCUAGCUCUCUCCUUCCCUAUCUCCCUUGCCGCCUCUUUCUCCUUCUCUAUUCCUCUCAGACCUUCCACCCAUAAUUCCCCAAUUUCAGAACCCUUCUCUCUCAAUCUUAGCCCGCGAACAGCCACCGGCCUCUAUUCUCAUAGCGAGAAUCGCCGCCGCCUUCUCCUCUCCUCUGGUCGGACAGCAACGGCCCCACGACCGCCGCCGUUCUGAUUCUCACCAUCAAAACCCCAUCUCCGUCUCUAUUUCCAAAUCACUCAACAAUCACCAGGCCUAAGGCUAAGUUCACAAUUUUAUUUAAUAUGCACAAUGCUUCCUUCUAUAUCAAUUCUCCAACUAAGUGUAAAGAUUCAAGUUUUAUCGAUUUGUAAAGUUAGAUGCAUUAUUUUUAUAAAAUGGAUGGUGACUCAAAAUUGAUUUGCAGGGCUAAGAUGAGAAGAGAAGCCAACCUGGAAACCUUGAUAUUAAAGGUGCAUUGCUAUUCAGCUGAAACAACUUGCACUUGAUCUGGAAACAAUUUGAGAUUUGAGGAGGACCUCAAUGUUGGGAAAAUGAGUUGAGAAUCGAACAACUAAUUGUUAAUGUGAAAGGGUGAAGGCUUUGUAUACAUGAAAUGAAAUAAAANAAUCUUUGUUUUCUAUGUUCAAGUUUCAACUAGGUUCUACAAAUGAAAACGUGAGAAAAUGAGUAAGUUUUUUUGAGGGGUGAGAAAAUGAGUAAUUGAUUGAGCUAUUGAGGUUUAAUGGACAAUGGGCUAAAAAAUAUGGGUAUUUGAAUGAUAGAUUGGAGAAGAAAAUUUUAUGCUGGAAUCAAAGGAAGUUCUCUGCGGGGGAAAAAAGAGGUCCUUAUCAAGGCGGUAGCUCAGGCGAUGCCAACAUUUGCUAUGCAAUGCUUCAGAAUACCGGAUACUAUCCAUAAAAUAUGUAUGAUAUUUUGGUGAGGCGAUAAGGAGGAGAAAAAAUGUAUGCAUUAGGCGAGGUGAGAACGCAUGUGUGUGUCGAAACAAAAAAGAGGCAUGUGGUUCAUGGAUUUAAAGAUUUUAAACAAAGCUUUAGCCGCGAAACAUGCUUGGAGGAUGAUUUUGUAUCCACCCGUGUUUUUAAAGCUAAAUACUUCAAAAAUGAUGAUUUGAUGCAAGCUCAUGCUCUCUCGAGAUCGUCUUAUGUUUUGGCGCUCUAUUGCCUAGACGGAAAUUAGUUUUUCAAAUAUAGAUUUACCAAGAUUGAGAGGUUUUAUUAGUCACCUCACCACUUUUUUUUCCAACUCUAUUACAAGUCCACCAAAAUCAAAGUCAUAUAUUUAAGCAAGUACAAGAACAGUAGCCUAUUCCCUCCCCUGCUCUGCAGCACCAAUUUCGGCUGUCAUUCAGCUACCCUACUCUUUCAUUCCUAUCAAGCCUUUGAAGGAUCGCAGAGGACCCAUCUGCCCAUAUACAUAUACUAUCAGCCACCAUACUUCAACUGUUGAGGUACAAAAAUAGGGAAAUGUCUAUCCUAGGCUGAUACGUGGUAGGCUGGGACGUUGGAUGAGUGCCACGUCAAAAGUGAUAGAUAACUAGUUCAUUUCAUUUAAAUCAACCCAAUCAACCCAGAAAACCGGUUCAUUUCAUUUACAACCAACCCAGACCGGUACUAUAGUGCUUUUGAAUUUACAUCCAAAAAUAGCUCAUUCAGCCCCCUACACUUGACCCUUCUUCUCAAGCCUCCCAUGGAUCAAUACUCAAGUCUUCAUCCAAACUCUACUCCCUUUAAAGAAUCAGCAACAAUCCCUCUCCAUUUCUUUGCACGCCAAUACAAUCCCUCUCCAUUUCUUUGCACGCCAAUAACAGAGAGUCAAUGAGUUCAUCUUAGCUUCUGCCAAACUUAAAAGAUUUUUUUCCCAGCAAAUCUAUUAUCACAACCAGGUUCAAACACAUUCGCAAGGUAUUAUACUAUCUCAGUCAUUCAACAUGUUUCACACCAAUAAGAAUUCUGAGUAAGGCAUAAAUGACAUCAACAGACUAGAAAUUUUUAGGUGAAAUAAGUGUGCUUUAACUGAUUAGCUUUUGAACUCAAGUACCCAAAUAGAACGCUAGUAAAUAACACACAAGGACCUAUCUAUUGCAUAACUGGUGAGGGCCACAAUCAAACACCAGACCAGAUUUCAUAGUUCACCUAGUGCAGUAAUUAGUUGAACUUAAGGCUUUGUAAGCUUACGAACCUGUUGAUUCGAGUGCGGGUUAUGUUGGCUGGGGUCGGACCUUGGAAGAGUUGGGCGAGAAUGGAGACUGCGUUGCAGGGCACCGCGAAUCGACGGAGCAACGGAUGACUGCUCCGUUCACCAGAUGCAGGGAAACAACAGCGCGGUGACCCCAGUUAAGGAAGACACGACAACACGAUCGGCGUUGGGGGAUCCAACACCGACGACGACGAACGCUAUCGACUCGCCGAUCCUCGAACCACCAGCAGCGAUGGGCGGAUUCUAGGCCUCGCAGCUCACCGAUUUUUCUUGAGAUGACGACGGUUGGGCUGUACCGAACAGAGAACAGCUAGGGCUCGACCCUUACUAGAGCUACGUUAGAGAAAAUCAGAGAGAAGAGAGAACCAAGGAGGAAAUCAUGCCUAUGGCCUCGCUCGGUAACGGCGGUGAUUUCUGAUGGAGAAGAGAAUUAGGGCUCGCCCCUUUCGCCUUGAUUGAGUGCGCCAGAGAGGGUGUGAGUGAGAGAGGGGAAAAGAGAUAGAGGUUGCGAGUCAGGCGAAGGGGGAUGCCGCGUUGACGACCGGAUUCCGGCCUCGCCAGAGCUUAGAGAAAGGGAGAGGUGCUGUUCUGUAUACAGCGAGAACGAGAGAGAGAGAGAAGGUAUCAGCCGAUUAUUGAGAAGAAAGAAAGAAAGAGAGAUGGGUUGGGCUUCAGUAAUUGAUUUUUUGAUUGGGCCUCUACUGUUGGGCUGCAAUUGUUUGACUGAAAUUUAUGAUAUUAAUGGGCCAAGUCUUUAGGCCGAAUCUGUGGGGGAAUUUAUUUUCUUAAAGGGUAAUUAUAUAUAUAGCCCUCAUUUUACUCAACAUAGCCUCAAAUUUAUAAAAGAAAUACAAAUAUUAGUGAAUGUAUUAUUUUGCCCUUGUAGCCCC
RNAcentral lists this long non-coding RNA (6731 nucleotides) under Salvia miltiorrhiza (redroot sage). RNAcentral describes it as "long non-coding RNA (SMIL_LNC008892)". Lineage: Eukaryota; Viridiplantae; Streptophyta; Magnoliopsida; Lamiales; Lamiaceae. The record is from RNAcentral.